GACGAACGCUGGCGGCGUGCUUAACACAUGCAAGUCGAACGGAAAGGCCCUGCUUUUGUGGGGUGCUCGAGUGGCGAACGGGUGAGUAACACGUGAGUAACCUGCCCUUGACUUUGGGAUAACUUCAGGAAACUGGGGCUAACCGGAUAGGAGCUCCUGCUGCAUGGUGGGGGUUGGAAAGUUUCGGCGGUUGGGGAUGGACUCGCGGCUUAUCAGCUUGUUGGUGGGGUAGUGGCUUACCAAGGCUUUGACGGGUAGCCGGCCUGAGAGGGUGACCGGCCACAUUGGGACUGAGAUACGGCCCAGACUCCUACGGGAGGCAGCAGUGGGGAAUAUUGCACAAUGGGCGGAAGCCUGAUGCAGCAACGCCGCGUGCGGGAUGACGGCCUUCGGGUUGUAAACCGCUUUCGCCUGUGACGAAGCGUGAGUGACGGUAAUGGGUAAAGAAGCACCGGCUAACUACGUG
This 466-nucleotide ribosomal RNA is filed under the name uncultured bacterium. Its description in RNAcentral is "partial 16S ribosomal RNA". It matches the Rfam family "Bacterial small subunit ribosomal RNA", at positions 28 to 507 of the family's 1533-position model. The record is from RNAcentral.